RNAcentral lists this ribosomal RNA (62 nucleotides) under uncultured bacterium. RNAcentral describes it as "partial 16S ribosomal RNA". The record is from RNAcentral.
GNACACGAGCGGNGCCUACCGUAGGGGAGGAGCCGUCGAAGGUGGGGUCGGUGAUUGGGGUG